Molecule: ribosomal RNA, 253 nt
Filed under: uncultured bacterium
Lineage: Bacteria
Description: partial 16S ribosomal RNA
Rfam family: Bacterial small subunit ribosomal RNA
Source: RNAcentral
UACGUAGGGUGCGAGCGUUAAUCGGAAUUACUGGGCGUAAAGCGUGCGCAGGCGGCUUUGCAAGACAGAUGUGAAAUCCCCGGGCUCAACCUGGGAACUGCAUUUGUGACUGCAAGGCUAGAGUACGGCAGAGGGGGAUGGAAUUCCGCGUGUAGCAGUGAAAUGCGUAGUUAUGCGGAGGAACACCAAUGGCGAAGGCAAUCCCCUGGGCCUGUACUGACGCUCAUGCACGAAAGCGUGGGGAGCAAACAGG